This 319-nucleotide ribosomal RNA is filed under the name uncultured eukaryote. Its description in RNAcentral is "partial 18S ribosomal RNA". It matches the Rfam family "Eukaryotic small subunit ribosomal RNA", at positions 1470 to 1796 of the family's 1831-position model. The record is from RNAcentral.
CCCUUAGAUGUUCUGGGCAGCACGCGCGCUACAAUGGUCUUCGCAAACGGAUGCAUUCUCGAAGGAGAAUGCCAAUCUUGGAAUCUAUGCCUUGGUCGGGACAGUUGCUUGCAAUUUUUCGACUCGAACCAGGAAUUCCUUGUAAUCGUGAUUCAUCACAUCACGAUGAAUACGUCCCUGCCCUUUGUACACACCGCCCGUCGCUCCUACUGAUCGAAGAGUUAGGUGAAUUGUUUUGAUCGAUAAGAUUUGACUAUGGUCAACUCUCGUUGUGAAAUUCUGUGAAUCUGACUGUUUAGAGGAAGGAAAAGCCGUAACA